CUGUCUUCUGCCUCGCUCGGCCAGCUUUCUACUCUAAGCUGAUCUUGAGCUGGAUACACUUUUGUGUACUAGACUAGAGUGAUUCCGACGACCUUUGAGUGCGGAACCUCCUCUUGCUAUAUGGUGGACCUUCGCAAUUUGUCUGUUGAUACAUGA
RNAcentral lists this small nucleolar RNA (156 nucleotides) under Mollisia scopiformis. Lineage: Eukaryota; Fungi; Ascomycota; Leotiomycetes; Helotiales; Mollisiaceae. The record is from RNAcentral.